GCUGGUACGUUCUUUCUUUUGAAAAAGCAAAAAUAGUUUAGAGAUUAUGAGCAGUGAGAAAGAAAUGACUCCGAACAGAGUUGUGAACUGGCCAUUCAGGACUCUAUAGUGAGGAUUUUCCUUCGAAAACUUGUUUUAGUGAAAAGAGAAAGAAAUGAAAAAGAAAAAGAAGAAGAAAAAAAAAAUACCAUGGUUUUUGUUAAUUAAAUCAUUACUAUUAAACCAGUCAUUAUUUUGGGGACGCC
RNAcentral lists this long non-coding RNA (245 nucleotides) under Glycine max (soybean). Its description in RNAcentral is "long non-coding RNA (GMAX_LNC001022)". Lineage: Eukaryota; Viridiplantae; Streptophyta; Magnoliopsida; Fabales; Fabaceae. The record is from RNAcentral.